ACGGCCAAAACCUUCGCAAUGUAGGGGAUCAACGGCAGAUUCAGGAUCAGCAACACCAGAUUGCCCAAAUACAUCGAGAUGAUGACCGCCCAGAAAAUCUGCGGCUCGUCGAUCAUCAGGCGCGGGCC
This 128-nucleotide non-coding RNA is filed under the name Ruegeria sp. ANG-S4. Its description in RNAcentral is "Ruegeria cis8 sRNA". It matches the Rfam family "Ruegeria cis8 sRNA". From Rfam's summary of the family: Cis-encoded. Targets hypothetical protein. Lineage: Bacteria; Pseudomonadati; Pseudomonadota; Alphaproteobacteria; Rhodobacterales; Roseobacteraceae. The record is from Rfam by way of RNAcentral.